AGAGUUUGAUCCUGGCUCAGAUUGAACGCUGAGGCUUAACACUGCAAGUCGAACGGCAGCAUGGGUGCUUGCACCUGAUGGCGAGUGGCGAACGGGUGAGUAAAGCAUCGGAACGUACCGUGAAGUGGGGGAUAACGUAGCGAAAGUUACGCUAAUACCGCAUAUUCUGUGAGCAGGAAAGAGGGGGAUCGCAAGACCUCUUGCUUUACGAGCGGCCGAUGUCGGAUUAGCUAGUUGGUGGGGUAAAGGCCUACCAAGGCGACGAUCCGUAGCGGGUCUGAGAGGAUGAUCCGCCACACUGGGACUGAGACACGGCCCAGACUCCUACGGGAGGCAGCAGUGGGGAAUUUUGGACAAUGGGCGCAAGCCUGAUCCAGCCAUGCCGCGUGAGUGAAGAAGGCCUUCGGGUUGUAAAGCUCUUUCGGCGGGGAAGAAAUGGCACGCUCUAACAUAGUGUGUUGGUGACGGUACCCGCAUAAGAAGCACCGGCUAACUACGUGCCAGCAGCCGCGGUAAUACGUAGGGUGCGAGCGUUAAUCGGAAUUACUGGGCGUAAAGCGUGCGCAGGCGGUUGUGUAAGUCAGAUGUGAAAUCCCUGGGCUCAACCUGGGAACUGCAUUUGAGACUGCACGGCUAGAGUGUGACAGAGGGGGGUAGAAUUCCACGUGUAGCAGUGAAAUGCGUAGAGAUGUGGAGGGAUACCGAUGGCGAAGGCAGCCCCCUGGGUUACUACUGACGCUCAUGCACGAAAGCGUGGGGGAGCAAACAGGAUUAGAUACCCUGGUAGUCCACGCCCUAAACGAUGCCAACUGGAUGUUGGAGGGGUUAAACCCUUUAGUGUCGUAGCUAACGCGUGAAGUUGACCGCCUGGGGAGUACGGCCGCAAGGCUAAAACUCAAAGGAAUUGACGGGGACCCGCACAAGCGGUGGAUGAUGUGGAUUAUUCGAUGCACGCGAAAC
Molecule: ribosomal RNA, 960 nt
Filed under: uncultured beta proteobacterium
Lineage: Bacteria; Pseudomonadati; Pseudomonadota; Betaproteobacteria
Description: bacterial SSU rRNA
Rfam family: Bacterial small subunit ribosomal RNA
Source: RNAcentral